GUCAGGAUAGCUCAGCUGGUAGAGCAGA
This 28-nucleotide transfer RNA is filed under the name Tecomanthe volubilis. RNAcentral describes it as "partial tRNA-Phe". Lineage: Eukaryota; Viridiplantae; Streptophyta; Magnoliopsida; Lamiales; Bignoniaceae. The record is from RNAcentral. RNAcentral also lists the same sequence under 1 other name.